CUCCUCCUGCGGUGUUCGAUGCAAACCCGGAAACCUUUCGACCCUAACUCACAAUCGCGGGGUCGUGUCCUUCCGGCAGCUGUGUGCAUUACCGCCUGAUGCGGAAAGCCUGGGCUGCCCCGGUUGACCCCACCUUCUGCUCUGGUUCGAGAGCGAAGGUUUGCAACGGCACAGGCGGGAGGUGC
This 185-nucleotide small RNA is filed under the name Gammaproteobacteria bacterium. RNAcentral's name for it is "6S RNA". Lineage: Bacteria; Pseudomonadati; Pseudomonadota; Gammaproteobacteria. The record is from RNAcentral.